GAUGAACGCUGGCGGCGUGCCUAAUACAUGCAAGUCGAGCGAACAGACGAGGAGCUUGCUCCUUCGACGUUAGCGGCGGACGGGUGAGUAACACGUAGAUAACCUACCUAUAAGACUGGGAUAACUUCGGGAAACCGGAGCUAAUACCGGAUAAUAUUUCGAACCGCAUGGUUCGAUAGUGAAAGAUGGCUUUGCUAUCACUUAUAGAUGGACCUGCGCCGUAUUAGCUAGUUGGUAAGGUAACGGCUUACCAAGGCAACGAUACGUAGCCGACCUGAGAGGGUGAUCGGCCACACUGGAACUGAGACACGGUCCAGACUCCUACGGGAGGCAGCAGUAGGGAAUCUUCCGCAAUGGGCGAAAGCCUGACGGAGCAACGCCGCGUGAGUGAUGAAGGUCUUCGGAUCGUAAAACUCUGUUAUUAGGGAAGAACAAACGUGUAAGUAACUGUGCACGUCUUGACGGUACCUAAUCAGAAAGCCACGGCUAACUACGUG
This 497-nucleotide ribosomal RNA is filed under the name uncultured bacterium. RNAcentral's name for it is "partial 16S ribosomal RNA". It matches the Rfam family "Bacterial small subunit ribosomal RNA", at positions 28 to 507 of the family's 1533-position model. The record is from RNAcentral.